GGGGUUUGCAGGUUGUUUAGACAGUCUGCUCUCCUUAAAAACAUUUAGCGGAACGUUAUCUGUAGUCCGUUUUAUAGUGUGAUAAUUAUCUACGCUAUACAUGUGUAUUACAUCUUGUUCAGCUUCGAACGGUCCAUUGACUUGGACAACUUCUUGACUAUUUUGACCUCAAAUCAGGUAGGACUACCCGCUGAACUUAA
RNAcentral lists this unclassified non-coding RNA (200 nucleotides) under soil metagenome. RNAcentral describes it as "partial contains internal transcribed spacer 2 and large subunit ribosomal RNA". The record is from RNAcentral.